This 483-nucleotide ribosomal RNA is filed under the name uncultured bacterium. RNAcentral describes it as "partial 16S ribosomal RNA". It matches the Rfam family "Bacterial small subunit ribosomal RNA", at positions 30 to 506 of the family's 1533-position model. The record is from RNAcentral.
AUUGAACGCUGGCGGCAGGCCUAACACAUGCAAGUCGAGCGGAUGAAGGGAGCUUGCUCCUGGAUUCAGCGGCGGACGGGUGAGUAAUGCCUAGGAAUCUGCCUGGUAGUGGGGGAUAACGUCCGGAAACGGGCGCUAAUACCGCAUACGUCCUGAGGGAGAAAGUGGGGGAUCUUCGGACCUCACGCUAUCAGAUGAGCCUAGGUCGGAUUAGCUAGUUGGUGGGGUAAAGGCCUACCAAGGCGACGGUCCGUAACUGGUCUGAGAGGAUGAUCAGUCAAACUGGAAAUGAGAAACGGUCCAGAAUCCUAGGGGAGGCAGCAGGGGGGAAUAUUGGAAAAUGGGCGAAAGCCUGAUCCAGCCAUGCCGGGUGUGUGAAGAAGGUCUUCGGAUUGUAAAGCACUUUAAGUUGGGAGGAAGGGCAGUAAGUUAAUACCUUGCUUUUUUGACGUUACCAAAAGAAUAAGCACCGGCUAACUUCGU